GGGUUGUGAGGUUAAGCGACUAAGCGUACACGGUGGAUGCCCUGGCAGUCAGAGGCGAUGAAGGACGUGCUAAUCUGCGAUAAGCGUCGGUAAGGUGAUAUGAACCGUUAUAACCGGCGAUUUCCGAAUGGGGAAACCCAGUGUGUUUCGACACACUAUCAUUAACUGAAUCCAUAGGUUAAUGAGGCGAACCGGGGGAACUGAAACAUCUAAGUACCCCGAGGAAAAGAAAUCAACCGAGAUUCCCCCAGUAGCGGCGAGCGAACGGGGAGGAGCCCAGAGCCUGAAUCAGUGUGUGUGUUAGUGGAAGCGUCUGGAAAGGCGCGCGAUACAGGGUGACAGCCCCGUACACAAAAAUGCACAUAUUGUGAGCUCGAUGAGUAGGGCGGGACACGUGGUAUCCUGUCUGAAUAUGGGGGGACCAUCCUCCAAGGCUAAAUACUCCUGACUGACCGAUAGUGAACCAGUACCGUGAGGGAAAGGCGAAAAGAACCCCGGCGAGGGGAGUGAAAAAGAACCUGAAACCGUGUACGUACAAGCAGUGGGAGCCUCUUUUAUGGGGUGACUGCGUACCUUUUGUAUAAUGGGUCAGCGACUUAUAUUCUGUAGCAAGGUUAACCGAAUAGGGGAGCCGAAGGGAAACCGAGUCUUAACUGGGCGUUAAGUUGCAGGGUAUAGACCCGAAACCCGGUGAUCUAGCCAUGGGCAGGUUGAAGGUUGGGUAACACUAACUGGAGGACCGAACCGACUAAUGUUGAAAAAUUAGCGGAUGACUUGUGGCUGGGGGUGAAAGGCCAAUCAAACCGGGAGAUAGCUGGUUCUCCCCGAAAGCUAUUUAGGUAGCGCCUCGUGAAUUCAUCUCCGGGGGUAGAGCACUGUUUCGGCAAGGGGGUCAUCCCGACUUACCAACCCGAUGCAAACUGCGAAUACCGGAGAAUGUUAUCACGGGAGACACACGGCGGGUGCUAACGUCCGUCGUGAAGAGGGAAACAACCCAGACCGCCAGCUAAGGUCCCAAAGUCAUGGUUAAGUGGGAAACGAUGUGGGAAGGCCCAGACAGCCAGGAUGUUGGCUUAGAAGCAGCCAUCAUUUAAAGAAAGCGUAAUAGCUCACUGGUCGAGUCGGCCUGCGCGGAAGAUGUAACGGGGCUAAACCAUGCACCGAAGCUGCGGCAGCGACACUAUGUGUUGUUGGGUAGGGGAGCGUUCUGUAAGCCUGUGAAGGUGUGCUGUGAGGCAUGCUGGAGGUAUCAGAAGUGCGAAUGCUGACAUAAGUAACGAUAAAGCGGGUGAAAAGCCCGCUCGCCGGAAGACCAAGGGUUCCUGUCCAACGUUAAUCGGGGCAGGGUGAGUCGACCCCUAAGGCGAGGCCGAAAGGCGUAGUCGAUGGGAAACAGGUUAAUAUUCCUGUACUUGGUGUUACUGCGAAGGGGGGACGGAGAAGGCUAUGUUGGCCGGGCGACGGUUGUCCCGGUUUAAGCGUGUAGGCUGGUUUUCCAGGCAAAUCCGGAAAAUCAAGGCUGAGGCGUGAUGACGAGGCACUACGGUGCUGAAGCAACAAAUGCCCUGCUUCCAGGAAAAGCCUCUAAGCAUCAGGUAACAUCAAAUCGUACCCCAAACCGACACAGGUGGUCAGGUAGAGAAUACCAAGGCGCUUGAGAGAACUCGGGUGAAGGAACUAGGCAAAAUGGUGCCGUAACUUCGGGAGAAGGCACGCUGAUAUGUAGGUGAAGCGACUUGCUCGUGGAGCUGAAAUCAGUCGAAGAUACCAGCUGGCUGCAACUGUUUAUUAAAAACACAGCACUGUGCAAACACGAAAGUGGACGUAUACGGUGUGACGCCUGCCCGGUGCCGGAAGGUUAAUUGAUGGGGUCAGCGCAAGCGAAGCUCUUGAUCGAAGCCCCGGUAAACGGCGGCCGUAACUAUAACGGUCCUAAGGUAGCGAAAUUCCUUGUCGGGUAAGUUCCGACCUGCACGAAUGGCGUAAUGAUGGCCAGGCUGUCUCCACCCGAGACUCAGUGAAAUUGAACUCGCUGUGAAGAUGCAGUGUACCCGCGGCAAGACGGAAAGACCCCGUGAACCUUUACUAUAGCUUGACACUGAACAUUGAGCCUUGAUGUGUAGGAUAGGUGGGAGGCUUAGAAGUGUGGACGCCAGUCUGCAUGGAGCCGACCUUGAAAUACCACCCUUUAAUGUUUGAUGUUCUAACGUUGACCCGUGAUCCGGGUUGCGGACAGUGUCUGGUGGGUAGUUUGACUGGGGCGGUCUCCUCCUAAAGAGUAACGGAGGAGCACGAAGGUUGGCUAAUCCUGGUCGGACAUCAGGAGGUUAGUGCAAUGGCAUAAGCCAGCUUGACUGCGAGCGUGACGGCGCGAGCAGGUGCGAAAGCAGGUCAUAGUGAUCCGGUGGUUCUGAAUGGAAGGGCCAUCGCUCAACGGAUAAAAGGUACUCCGGGGAUAACAGGCUGAUACCGCCCAAGAGUUCAUAUCGACGGCGGUGUUUGGCACCUCGAUGUCGGCUCAUCACAUCCUGGGGCUGAAGUAGGUCCCAAGGGUAUGGCUGUUCGCCAUUUAAAGUGGUACGCGAGCUGGGUUUAGAACGUCGUGAGACAGUUCGGUCCCUAUCUGCCGUGGGCGCUGGAGAACUGAGGGGGGCUGCUCCUAGUACGAGAGGACCGGAGUGGACGCAUCACUGGUGUUCGGGUUGUCAUGCCAAUGGCACUGCCCGGUAGCUAAAUGCGGAAGAGAUAAGUGCUGAAAGCAUCUAAGCACGAAACUUGCCCCGAGAUGAGUUCUCCCUGACCCUUUAAGGGUCCUGAAGGAACGUUGAAGACGACGACGUUGAUAGGCCGGGUGUGUAAGCGCAGCGAUGCGUUGAGCUAACCGGUACUAAUGAACCGUGAGGCUUAACCUUACAACGCCGAAGCUGUU
This 2929-nucleotide ribosomal RNA is filed under the name Escherichia coli. Its description in RNAcentral is "23S ribosomal RNA". It matches the Rfam family "Bacterial large subunit ribosomal RNA". The record is from RNAcentral. Lineage: Bacteria; Pseudomonadati; Pseudomonadota; Gammaproteobacteria; Enterobacterales; Enterobacteriaceae.